This 344-nucleotide unclassified non-coding RNA is filed under the name Hevea brasiliensis (rubber tree). The record is from RNAcentral. Lineage: Eukaryota; Viridiplantae; Streptophyta; Magnoliopsida; Malpighiales; Euphorbiaceae.
CUUGAUGCUCUUUACAAGAAGGUAAAAUUCUUUGGGAUUAUCUUGAAUUCUUGAUGCUUUGGUUGCAAAAUUGUUUGCAAGAAGUUAUAUUGUUAAGUUCCAUGACAUAGCUCGCUAAAAAAUAUUUUAGCAAUCAGGCACACCAAGUAAUUUUGAAUGCUUGAGAUUAAUAGUUUGCUUAGACUGGUAAUUGGUGAAUUGAUAGAAAGUUUUUCUAUUUAGAGUCUUCAGACAAUUUUUUAUGUUUGCAUUUAAUACUUACAUGCUUAGACCUGUAAACUUGUUGAUGCUAUGUUCUCAUAAAUUAUUCUUUAGCAAUAUGCUUGGUGCUUUUCAGAGGAAGG